RNAcentral lists this long non-coding RNA (346 nucleotides) under Manacus vitellinus (golden-collared manakin). RNAcentral describes it as "lncRNA (ENSMVIG00005006778.1)". Lineage: Eukaryota; Metazoa; Chordata; Aves; Passeriformes; Pipridae. The record is from RNAcentral.
CUUAAAAGCCCACGGGAGUUUCAAAUAAACCACUUUUAGCCACUGGAAUCCAGAGAAGGAACUUCGUGGCUCUUUUCUCCUAGUGAAGGGGGGUCAUGCCACUGAAACUUUCUCUGAGAACCUGCGAGCAAGGAGUCGCUAGCAAUCAGCUCUGUUAAUAAUUUAUAUAUCUUUGAAUCUUUCUUUAGAAAAUAUGGCUUCUUCCUAAUAUACAGAAUAAGCUGGACUCAGAAAACCUUUUUUAUAUCUAAAAUGUCAGAAGAUUAGAGAAGAAAUUCAUCAGUGAAUGUUUCACUCAGUGGCCCCAUCUAAUGAACCUCCUAUAAGGAAGAUGACAUCAGAACAA